CUUACCAAUUCCACAACUCCCUUCAUACACAAAUAGCAUACACACAUUAAACCACAGACUGAACAAACACCUAUAUAUAUUCAUCUCCUUUGAUCACCAAAGAAUAUCAUCUCUACUAUUGUAGCCUAUAGUACACCAAAGGAACAAAUUAAAGAAAGAAUAUAAGUCGGUAGCUCAAUUUUCAUUCUUGUUUUGAUUGAGCUAUGGCAGAAUCCCACUUGAACGGAGCCUAUUAUGGACCCUCCAUUCC
Molecule: long non-coding RNA, 250 nt
Filed under: Nicotiana benthamiana
Lineage: Eukaryota; Viridiplantae; Streptophyta; Magnoliopsida; Solanales; Solanaceae
Description: long non-coding RNA (NBEN_LNC001276)
Source: RNAcentral